GCAGAGGAAAACAAAUCAUGGAAGCCUUCUUUGAGGAGGUGGGACAGAGCAUGAGCUGACCUUGGACAAUGGGAGCCUGCUGGGGAAGGGCAAUUCUCCGAGACUCUGGAUGCCCUUUUUCUAUAAGUCAGUUGACACAGGCACUGGGCUGGUAAGACAAGACUUCUUUGAGCAGAGUCUUAAAGGACAGAAAGGAAUUUCCAAGACUGACAAGGAUGUGAGGGGAAGAGGUUACCCCACCUGA
RNAcentral lists this long non-coding RNA (244 nucleotides) under Macaca nemestrina (pig-tailed macaque). Its description in RNAcentral is "lncRNA (ENSMNEG00000045757.1)". Lineage: Eukaryota; Metazoa; Chordata; Mammalia; Primates; Cercopithecidae. The record is from RNAcentral.